Molecule: long non-coding RNA, 578 nt
Organism: Sapajus apella (tufted capuchin)
Lineage: Eukaryota; Metazoa; Chordata; Mammalia; Primates; Cebidae
Exons: 3
Source: RefSeq, a predicted model, not a curated record
CCACCCUUCUUGGCCUCCCAAAGUGCUGGGGUUACAGGUGUGAGCCGCCACGGUUGGCUGAGUUUGGAUUUUAUUGUAAGGGUGGCAGGUCUAGCUGAGCAGUGGCGUAAUCUGGUUUUGAAUAGGCUGCUCUGGAACACAGAAGCAUACUUACCUGUACCUAAGUGUGUUUUCAGGAUAAAGUCAAGUGGAGUUCUCGUACGUUGAGGGUGACAGUGACAACAAAGUGAUGAUAUUGACAACCUUUCACAUAUGCCACUGGGGGAUGGCGGUGGGGCCACAGGGUUAGACUCCAUGAUGACCUAUAGUCUCCUUUCCAAUGCCGAGAUGCCUAAAGCACAAAUUAAAUGGAAGGAAAUCCUGUAAUAUCACCAUCAUUUAUAAAGAGAUAUUGAGCAUCACUAAAAAGUCGAGGGUGCUUUAAUUGACAUUUUGGUUUCCUGGAAUUGGGAUUUGAAAGAUUACUUGCUGAGAUAGUUUCCAUUUCUUGUUAACUUAUAAUAUGCACACAAUUUCUGCUUGAAAAUACAUGUAAGAGAUACCACUGAGAAUGAAGAUUGGAAUAAGGUUGCAAUGAG